Molecule: long non-coding RNA, 414 nt
Filed under: Homo sapiens (human)
Lineage: Eukaryota; Metazoa; Chordata; Mammalia; Primates; Hominidae
Description: HSALNT0301901
Source: RNAcentral
GUCAGUCCUCAUCUGCAGUGAUGACAGUAGUAGGUGGAACAUGCCUGUCCUUGGGCAACAGGGCAGUGCACGUGCCAGCACCAAGUGGUUCCAGAAGUUUACGAAGACAAAAGAGGAAUGACGACUCAGCAUAUUGGAGCGUUCCACUUGGCUGGGAGCAGAUAAUGUGUGCAUCCCGAGAGCAGACAGAACCAAGAGCAGGCAAACUUAGAAGACACUCAGCUAAGCACUUGCUGACUUCUUACAGGUUCACCGAUCAGGUAUCACAACAACAUUUCCGAACGGCACAUGAAGAAGGAGCAAAUGUUCAGUCAUGACUGGAACAGGAUUGUGCAAGCCAUGGAUGCCUUUGAAAAUAAAACUGACAGACAAUCCCAAGCAACGGCAACAUGGGACUGAGACACAUGUUAAUGC